GGAUGUGAGGGUGAUCGGGCUGCGACAUCUGUCACCCCAUUGAUCGCCGGGGUUGAUUCAGCUGAUCUGGCUGGCUAGGCAAGUGUCCCCUUCCUCACUCACCACUCCCUGUGUGUCCUUCCUGAAGCUGCACGCUCUGUUGAAGAGGAUGACCUUCCUGGCUAGAGGGGGACUGUUCUUCUGUCAAGGGUAUACCAGUAGCUGAGUUCCCCUGCUAGAACCUCCAAACAAGCUCUCAAAAGUUGUCAUUUCACACUCACUAGAAUGGCUACUAUUAAAAAAAUUGAAAACUACAAGAGUU
This 301-nucleotide small nuclear RNA is filed under the name Dasypus novemcinctus (nine-banded armadillo). RNAcentral describes it as "7SK RNA (ENSDNOG00000032516.1)". It matches the Rfam family "7SK RNA". From Rfam's summary of the family: 7SK was discovered as an abundant small nuclear RNA in the mid-70s but a possible function has only recently been suggested. The record is from RNAcentral. Lineage: Eukaryota; Metazoa; Chordata; Mammalia; Cingulata; Dasypodidae.